GGAUAGGUGGCCGAGUGGUCGAAGGCGCACGCCUGGAAAGUGUGUAGACGUCAAAAGCGUCUCGAGGGUUCGAAUCCCUCCCUAUCCGCCA
RNAcentral lists this transfer RNA (91 nucleotides) under Parvularculaceae bacterium. RNAcentral's name for it is "tRNA-Ser". It matches the Rfam family "tRNA". From Rfam's summary of the family: Transfer RNA (tRNA) molecules are approximately 80 nucleotides in length. The record is from RNAcentral. Lineage: Bacteria; Pseudomonadati; Pseudomonadota; Alphaproteobacteria; Parvularculales; Parvularculaceae.